GAAAGUUGUGUCCAAUUCAAUUAGGCCCUUAGGCAUACCAGCAAGGUUGUAAACAAAAGGGUGAUGGUGAAAAACAUAGUGUUUUGAUGAAUAAUAGUAGCACCAUUUAUGUCUGUGUUGGUCAUGCCACUUGGCCCAAGUCCAAAAGCUGGAUUAGUCCCUGGUAAUGUUGUGCCACUUCCAGUGCCAGUGCUAGUGCUAGUGCCUCCUGUUGAUGGACUUGUAGUUCCUGGUACAGUUGUUGGACUUGUGUUUCCUGCAGUGGACUGAUAUACACAUCCAGAACCAGCAGAAGCUGGUGCUGUUGGUGUCAAAGUUGCAGUUCCUUUAAAGUCACAGCUAGCACCAGAUGCACCUUUUCUUUGAUAAUAACU
Molecule: unclassified non-coding RNA, 374 nt
Filed under: Hevea brasiliensis (rubber tree)
Lineage: Eukaryota; Viridiplantae; Streptophyta; Magnoliopsida; Malpighiales; Euphorbiaceae
Source: RNAcentral